RNAcentral lists this unclassified non-coding RNA (285 nucleotides) under uncultured fungus. RNAcentral's name for it is "partial contains 5.8S ribosomal RNA, internal transcribed spacer 2, and large subunit ribosomal RNA". Lineage: Eukaryota; Fungi. The record is from RNAcentral.
AACGCACAUUGCGCCCCUCGGCAUUCCGGGGGGCAUGCCCGUUCGAGCGUCAUUACAACCAUCAAGCACAGCUUGGCAAUGGGCGACGUCCCCCGUCUUGGGGGGGGGCGCGCCCCUAAACUGUCGGCAGAGUCACGCGGACCCGCCGGGCGUAGCAGAAAAGGAAGGCUUGCGCCGACCCCUCACGUCCAAUGCGACCGCGCCUCGCGCCGUAAAACCAAUGGCCCGCGAGGGUUGCAUCUCAAGGUUGACCUCGGAUCAGGUAGGGAUACCCGCUGAACUUAA